Molecule: non-coding RNA, 46 nt
Organism: Zootermopsis nevadensis
Lineage: Eukaryota; Metazoa; Arthropoda; Insecta; Blattodea; Termopsidae
Source: Rfam
AAAACGGCCCUUUUCAGGGCCACAAUUAAUCUAAGGAAGUUUUAGU